CAAUCUUUAACAAAGGUUAACAACGGCUUUUCUCUGAUUAAGCAUGUCCCAAUCCAAAUUCCUGUCUCCCUCACCUGGGGGCUUUCGUCUGAGCUGUGACCGAGCCGUGAUCAAACUGAACUAAAAUAAUAAGGUAAAAUUGAAUCAAAAGGUCAGAGAGAGAGAGAGAGAGAGAGAUAGAUUUCUUCACCUGGGACCGAGCUUCCAAGUAGGUGCUUGGCAGUCCUCUCUAGGGAGUGGAACUUGUUCCCACAGGAGGCAAUGAGAUAGCCACCAAGCUAGGUGGUUUCUAAAGAGGAUUGGACAGAUUCAAGGAGGAGAGAGCCAUCGAAGGCUGUGCUCUGCUGCCAAUGUUGGAGGCAGCAGUCCUUCUGAAAACAGUACCAGAUGCUAGAAGCCACAGGAGGAGAGAGGGCUCUUGUGCUCGAAUCCCACUUGUGGGUUUCCCACAGGCAUCUGGUUGGCCACUGUGAGAACAGGAUUCUGGUAGGCCAUUGUCCUGAUCCAGCAGGGUCUUCUUAUGUUCUUAUGUGGUUAUGAGAGCGGUCUACAACCACCGCCAUGGAGGAAACCUUUACCUCUGCUGCCGCCGGCCAUAUCCCAGAUGGUGGUUGAACUUAAAGGAAGGCUUCUGGUGCAGAUCUUAAUGUACAGGCAUGCAAGUGUGGAGACAUUUCCACCUGGUCCCAAGCCAUUAAGGGACAGCUGGAG
Podarcis lilfordi (Lilford's wall lizard) is the source of this 711-nucleotide non-coding RNA. The record is from the annotation of a GenBank genome assembly. NCBI's taxonomy places the organism in Eukaryota, Metazoa, Chordata, Lepidosauria, Squamata, Lacertidae.